Molecule: ribosomal RNA, 253 nt
Filed under: uncultured bacterium
Lineage: Bacteria
Description: partial 16S ribosomal RNA
Rfam family: Bacterial small subunit ribosomal RNA
Source: RNAcentral
UACGUAGGGUGCGAGCGUUGUCCGGAAUUAUUGGGCGUAAAGGGCUCGUAGGCGGUUUGUCGCGUCGGGAGUGAAAACUCAGGGCUUAACCCUGAGCCUGCUUCCGAUACGGGCAGACUAGAGGUAUGCAGGGGAGAACGGAAUUCCUGGUGUAGCGGUGAAAUGCGCAGAUAUCAGGAGGAACACCGGUGGCGAAGGCGGCAUCCUGGACCAACACUGACGCUGAGGAGCGAAAGCCAGGGGAGCAAACGGG